CAGGCAUUUCUUUAUUUCAGGGCAAGAAUGAACUAAUUUACUCACCAAAAUAUCCUUUCCCUGAGAACCAAGGAGACUGCCUUCUUCCUUUGCCAAGCACAUCUUCAUUAUUUUGCAGAUAGAUCCUAGUUCUACCCUUAUUUAUCACUGACAUCACAUUUGUUUCUCAUGAUUUUUAUGGUGUGCCAGUUAACACCCUGCUUGCACUUCUUAACCACAUUGAGCCAUUAUAUGACUGGCUUUAGACUAGUGCUCCCCAGGAAUGACCCCUGGGGCUUCUUAGGGUUGAACUCUACUGUGCCUCAGUAUGUGGCCAGAAUAUUGAAAAGUUCAAGCGAAUUGUGCUGGUACCAGAGAUAAGGAAGUAUCUCUACUUUUUGUCUUCCUCUGUAGAUUUCUCCCAGAAGUAAAACUCAGAUGACUAGGACAAGCUGUGGUGAGAGAAGCCAUUGGCUGCCAUCUAGACUGUGUUGAAAGCACACAGUCACUUGUUAAAGGCAGUAAGUGUUCACGGCUGACCUUCGCUUGGACAGGGAGGCAUUGUAGCAUAAAGGAAGAAUAUUAGACAUUGAAUUCAGAGAAAUAUUGGCUUUACCACUAAAAAACAAUGUGACUCUGGAGACAUACCUAUUUGCGGCCUACUUCCUAUUCUCCAAGUGCAUUUUAAUUCCCCUGACUGCAUGAUUUUGUUCAGCAUUUAUGAAUAUCAUCUGUCUAAUCUGGAGAAACACGUCUUAUAGUUGGCCACUCUCAUGGUUCUUGUUGCCUUCUGUUGUUUGGAGGAAUCUAAGGAUUUAUGGAAGUUAUGUUGGUAUAUCAGAAGCUUGUUGGUAUAUAUUUGAGUAGAAGGGCUUCAAUGAAGUCAACUUAUACCACUAAGUGGAUUGUUGAUUCUUCGAUGGAUGAGGCUGUAUAAGGGGAUCAACAUUAAUCAAUGUUGCUGACAGGCUGGACAUUCAGCAGCAACCUUGACAAGAGAAUGAAGGCCAAAUUGAGUUUCCUUGAGCAACUCAUUUAACGUUAAGAAUCAAGAUGGUGCCCAAGCUCAGAUGACAUCCUUUCUAACCCAUUUGGAAGGCUCCUCUCAUAGGAGGUGUGAAAGAAAAGAGAAUGGAAAGGAACAGGCUCUUCUCUUGAAGAAAAGCCCUCAGUCCAUACAGCCAGACUUUGUCUACAUAUGCCUUUCUAUGGGAUGCUGAGAGACCAAGGGCUUCUGACAUAGACAUGUGAGAAAUACUGGCUUUAAGUAUACUAUACUCAGUGUCAAAAGCUUUCAGGAUGCAAGAAAUUCCUGAAUUUGAGUCUCCAAAAUUUUAAACAAGGAAAGGAAGUAAAAAUUAUCUCUUUUUCGAUGUAUGGCCCUAUAGUUGGCCAAAAAUGAUUGCUUCUGUUGUUAGAUAUUCAUGUAUAUUUAAGAUUAAAGAAGGUGAUAUUGAUGUGCAAAUAUGAGAGUAAAUUGACAGACAGAUAACCUAAAAAAGUACAGUAAAAUAAAGUUAAGAGUUGUGAUGAAUACCUAAAGGUCCAUUGCCAGAUGAAUGUGAAGACGGAAUGUGAUUUAUAUAUAUAGUGGAAUAUUAUUCAAUUAAAAAGAAAAUGCUAACACUUGCUAAUAUAUAUAAACCUUCAAGACAUUAUGCUAAGUGAAAGAAGCCAGAUACCAAAGGACAAAUAUUGCACUGUUCCACAUAUAUGAAGUGAACAUCACAUAUUGCUGAAGUUCUCAUCAUCAGAAAGAGGCAGAGCUAAGAUUUAAAUCCAGACAUGCCUGGUUCUGAAUUCAGUUGUCUUCCUACACCCAGGAGCUUAUUACAUGCAUUGUGCUAGUCUUCCUGGAAAUCAGGCAAACUCAGUCCACUGCACCUCAUCUCCUUAUGUAAUAACCUGGAGAGCGGUGAGAGCCAUCUGCUUCAAGAGCGACAUAUUUGAGUCCAUAAGGUAAUAGGUUGGCAGAGAACAGAAGGAUUAUGGCAUUGCCAUUUGGCAUUCUUGACUUACUCUGCAUUUAUAAAAUCGAAAUACAUAGUCCAUCAUGUUCUCACAGAGCCUACCAUUAUCAGUCAUUCUGAAAUAAACAUGGUUAGGGACAUCAUAUUCAAAAUAAGUGAUCCUUGUUUUCGGGAAUGAUGUCUGGCAGGAGGAGUUUUUAAAUCCUGCUUUCUGAAGCACUAGCUUACAAAUGACUUUGUGAAGUGUAUUUUGAUUCUGGGGCCCAAGAAGGAGAAAAACAAGUAAGGGAGAAAAACAUAGGCUGGAUCUUAAGAUCACAAGAUAACAGAUGGAUUAAAGGGUAGAAGCCAGAGCAGAGGUUCCAAAACAAGAUUGAUCAUUCAAAUUCAUCUGAAGAACUUUAAAUAUAUGUAUUUACCUGAACCCAGCUUCAGGAAUGAGGCUCAGACAUCUGUGUAUUUAAAAUCUCCUGUGGUUAUUCUGAUAAUUAGCCUCAGUUUUGAGUCAUCUAACAAAGAAAAAGCAAAACAUAUGUCAAUCAGUUUAUCUUACUGUAAUUAAACUUCAGUGGGAAACAUGAGGUGACCCCAAAGAACUGGUUAAGUGUGGCUUAAGAAUUAGUUAAGCAAAUGUACCAAAAGACAAUUUUAAAAAACCAAAUAAAAAGAAAUUUUAGUUUAUUCUCAGGGGCUUUCACAGGAGUCUAUAAAAAUCUCAAAAACAUCCAGGAAGCUCCCAUCGAAUAAUUUGGCUACCUGAAGUGCUGAAUAAAAGGAGCUCUCCCAAAAGAAGCUGUGAAUUCUCUAUCAGGCCCAUGUCCACUCUUCUAGUCAUAGCCUUACUUCUUAAAGAAAGAGAGAAGCUCUAAUCCAAAUCCAAACAUAGGACAUAUGGCGAAGAUUAUUCUGAGAGACACAGUCCCAGAUUCUCCUCUGCUAUACAGGUGUGACAAAAAAGGAGCAAGAACAAAGACUCUAACAUAAUCCUUAGAUGUUUAUAAUAGAAAAAAGAAUGGAAAGAAAUAAACUUUAGCAUUUACACAGGUUGAGCUGACCUAAUCUGAAAAUCCAAAAUCCAAACUGCUAAAAAACUGAUUGAGUUCUGAAGCUUUGAGUGUCAAAAUGGCUCCACAAGUAGAAAGCUCCACAUCUGACCUCAUGUGAUAGGUCACGGUCAAAAUGCAAUCAAAAUUUUGCUUCAUGCCCAACAUUAUUUAAAAUAUUGUAUAAAAUUACCUUUGGCUAUAUAUUAAUAUGUAAGGUAUAUAUAAAACAUUAGUGAUUUUUGGUUUAGUCUUGGAUCCUAUCCCCAUAAUAUCUCAAUAUAUGUAUGCAAAUAUUCCAACCUCCCUGCGCCCAAAAAAUCCAAAAUCCUAAGCACUUCCAAAAUCUAACAGUAAAACAGGCUGAGUAUCCCAAGCAUUUUGGAUAACAGAUGUUCAACCUGUAUCACUUGGGGUCCAUUCAGGGGAACAAACCCCACGAGGUAUUUCAACAGAGAUAAUUUCAUAUAGGGAAUUUGUUAAUCAGAUGAUGGGGAACUGAAAAGGAAAAUGAGAACAUUAGAAGAGAUCAUUACAAAAAGCUGCUACCUCCCCUCAGGCUGGAGGAAUGAAAGGAAGCUGAGAUCAGGAAGCUCAUUGGGAAGCUGAUCAAAACUUACAAGGUUCAUAGAGGGGCCCAAAGAUUUAGGACUCAGAAUUCCAAGGAGGGUGUUACCUACCUCCAAGGAGGCUGCUACUGAAAUCUCAGGAGCUUGGAGGGAGGGUCUCACACAAUGGGGGCCUAACCUCUGAAGUGAGGAGCUACCAGCUAGUGCUGGUACCUCAGAAGUUGGGAAGAGGUCCUGUGAUGUUGAGAUGCAGACACAUAAUGAGUGGGCUCUGCAGCUGGUGGUCGUGAAGGGGCACAAUGACUCUGUUAGUGGGAAUGGCCCGAUGAUCUGAAAGCUGUAAUUAACAGCUGCUGCCAGGGUAAAAGGCCAAAGUGGGGUGAUCUGAUGGGAAAAAAUAAACAAGCAGAAAUGAACAAGUUCCUUCUCCCCUUCUCCUGCCAUUUACUCUUCCCCUAGUUCUUCCUAUUGAUGGAAAUUAAUAGUAAGCCUUCUGACAAAGGAGACAUGUUGUCUUCAGAACCAUCAUCACAAAGUAGAGGCUAGGAAAGUAGAUGUGGAACCUAAUACCGGGUGAAUCAUUCAUCGCACAGUUUCAAAGGUGGCAACAGAAUUAGCCAAAAGCAAGUAUAGGAUGAAAAUAACAAAGGGAAGGGCAGAAAUAAAAUAAGACAUAAACAUUUGAUAGAGAGGACCAACAAAACAAAAUUUUAA
Molecule: long non-coding RNA, 4275 nt
Organism: Homo sapiens (human)
Lineage: Eukaryota; Metazoa; Chordata; Mammalia; Primates; Hominidae
Exons: 6
Source: RefSeq, a predicted model, not a curated record